This 504-nucleotide ribosomal RNA is filed under the name uncultured bacterium. Its description in RNAcentral is "partial 16S ribosomal RNA". It matches the Rfam family "Bacterial small subunit ribosomal RNA", at positions 29 to 523 of the family's 1533-position model. The record is from RNAcentral.
AUUGAACGCUGGCGGCAGGCCUAACACAUGCAAGUCGAGCGGUAGCACAGAGAGCUUGCUCUCGGGUGACGAGCGGCGGACGGGUGAGUAAUGUCUGGGAAACUGCCUGAUGGAGGGGGAUAACUACUGGAAACGGUAGCUAAUACCGCAUAACGUCGCAAGACCAAAGUGGGGGACCUUCGGGCCUCAUGCCAUCAGAUGUGCCCAGAUGGGAUUAGCUAGUAGGUGGGGUAACGGCUCACCUAGGCGACGAUCCCUAGCUGGUCUGAGAGGAUGACCAGCCACACUGGAACUGAGACACGGUCCAGACUCCUACGGGAGGCAGCAGUGGGGAAUAUUGCACAAUGGGCGCAAGCCUGAUGCAGCCAUGCCGCGUGUGUGAAGAAGGCCUUCGGGUUGUAAAGCACUUUCAGCGGGGAGGAAGGCGGUGAGGUUAAUAACCUCACCGAUUGACGUUACCCGCAGAAGAAGCACCGGCUAACUCCGUGCCAGCAGCCGCCGUAA